AUGAACGCUGGCGGCGUGCCUAAUACAUGCACGUCGAGCGAACACACGAGGAGCUUGCUCCUCUGACGUUAGCGGCGGACGGGUGAGUAACACGUGGAUAACCUACCUAUAAGACUGGGAUAACUUCGGGAAACCGGAGCUAAUACCGGAUAAUAUAUUGAACCGCAUGGUUCAAUAGUGAAAGACGGUUUUGCUGUCACUUAUAGAUGGAUCCGCGCCGCAUUAGCUAGUUGGUAAGGUAACGGCUUACCAAGGCAACGAUGCGUAGCCGACCUGAGAGGGUGAUCGGCCACACUGGAACUGAGACCCGGUCCAGACUCCUACGGGAGGCAGCAGUAGGGAAUCUUCCGCAAUGGGCGAAAGCUUGACGGAGCAACGCCGCGUGAGUGAUGAAGGUCUUCGGAUCGUAAAACUCUGUUAUUAGGGAAGAACAAAUGUGUAAGUAACUAUGCACGUCUUGACGGUACCUAAUCAGAAAGCCACGGCUAACUACGUG
This 496-nucleotide ribosomal RNA is filed under the name uncultured bacterium. RNAcentral's name for it is "partial 16S ribosomal RNA". It matches the Rfam family "Bacterial small subunit ribosomal RNA", at positions 29 to 507 of the family's 1533-position model. The record is from RNAcentral.